GAUGAACGCUGGCGGCGUGCCUAAUACAUGCAAGUCGAGCGAACAGAUGAGGAGCUUGCUCCUCUGACGUUAGCGGCGGACGGGUGAGUAACACGUGGAUAACCUACCUAUAAGACUGGGAUAACUUCGGGAAACCGGAGCUAAUACCGGAUAAUAUAUUCAACCGCAUGGUUCAAUAGUGAAAGACGGUUUUGCUGUCACUUAUAGAUGGAUCCGCGCCGCAUUAGCUAGUUGGUAAGGUAACGGCUUACCAAGGCAACGAUGCGUAGCCGACCUGAGAGGGUGAUCGGCCACACUGGAACUGAGACACGGUCCAGACUCCUACGGGAGGCAGCAGUAGGGAAUCUUCCGCAAUGGGCGAAAGCUUGACGGAGCAACGCCGCGUGAGUGAUGAAGGUCUUCGGAUCGUAAAACUCUGUUAUUAGGGAAGAACAAAUGUGUAAGUAACUAUGCACGUCUUGACGGUACCUAAUCAGAAAGCCACGGCUAACUACGUG
Molecule: ribosomal RNA, 497 nt
Filed under: uncultured bacterium
Lineage: Bacteria
Description: partial 16S ribosomal RNA
Rfam family: Bacterial small subunit ribosomal RNA
Source: RNAcentral